Molecule: long non-coding RNA, 678 nt
Filed under: Astyanax mexicanus (Mexican tetra)
Lineage: Eukaryota; Metazoa; Chordata; Actinopteri; Characiformes; Acestrorhamphidae
Description: lncRNA (ENSAMXG00005021339.1)
Source: RNAcentral
GGGAAAUGUAGUUACUGCGUGGGCUGCAGUUUAAGAGCAGAACGCUGAGGGAGGGAAGGGGGCAUUUUCUGCUCAUUAUCUGUUACAGGGCUCGUCACCAUGAGUUAUAUACAUUUAUAACCUGCUGAUUAUUAAUGCAGUAAUGUUACAGUUAGAUAACUCUGUGUGCAGAUUUUGCCGUGGUGCAGUCCUGGUAGCCAAGCCUUCGGCUCCCCCGCCAUGAGAAGCCUCGUGUGCUGCUGUGCGGAAAUAAAAUACCACAACUUAAUUCUCGUAAUAUUACGCCUGUAUUCUCGUAAUAUUACAACGUUAAUCUCGUAAUAUUGCGUAAUAUGGCCGUCGUACCUAAAGUAGCCAAAAGGUAUGUAAAAUAGAUAAAGGUAAAGUUCAGUUAUGCUUUGGUGAGUGGGAUGAGGUUACGGGGUACCUCCCUGAAAUUAUUUUUUGCAACUUGGGAUGUGUGAGAUGGAAACCACAAAUAACAUGUCCACACAGGGCCCGUAUGGGAACCGGAAUGUUUUGUCCACCUUGGCUCCAAAUAGGGCUGUGAUGACGAUGAUGAUGUACCACAUCAGGGUCAGUGAUGGGACCAGUAAUGUAAAAUAUUUUACACUGCACAUCAGGCCCGGAGAGGACCCAUGUGAGAUUAAGCAAGGAAUUAAGACACAGAGUGAAUGA